UACCCCAUGUGUGUAAGGAGUGUGGG
This 26-nucleotide non-coding RNA is filed under the name Homo sapiens (human). The record is from RNAcentral. Lineage: Eukaryota; Metazoa; Chordata; Mammalia; Primates; Hominidae.